RNAcentral lists this ribosomal RNA (479 nucleotides) under uncultured bacterium. RNAcentral describes it as "bacterial SSU rRNA". It matches the Rfam family "Bacterial small subunit ribosomal RNA", at positions 37 to 507 of the family's 1533-position model. The record is from RNAcentral.
UGGCGGCAGGCCUAACACAUGCAAGUCGAGCGGUAACAUUUCUAGCUUGCUAGAAGAUGACGAGCGGCGGACGGGCGAGUAACGCGUAGAAAUCUACCUAGUAGUGGGGGAUAGCCCAGAGAAAUUUGGAUUAAUACCGCAUACGCCCUACGGGGGAAAGCGGGGGAUCUUCGGACCUCGUGCUAUUAGAUGAGUCUGCGUCGGAUUAGCUUGUUGGUGAGGUAAUGGCUCACCAAGGCGACGAUCCGUAGCUGGUCUGAGAGGAUGACCAGCCACACUGGAACUGAGACACGGUCCAGACUCCUACGGGAGGCAGCAGUGGGGAAUAUUGCACAAUGGGCGCAAGCCUGAUGCAGCCAUGCCGCGUGUGUGAAGAAGGCCUUAGGGUUGUAAAGCACUUUCAGCAGUGAGGAAAGGGGUGUCGUUAAUAGCGCCAUCCUGUGACGUUAACUGCAGAAGAAGGACCGGCUAACUCCGUG